Molecule: ribosomal RNA, 514 nt
Filed under: Insignorthezia insignis
Lineage: Eukaryota; Metazoa; Arthropoda; Insecta; Hemiptera; Ortheziidae
Description: eukaryotic LSU rRNA
Rfam family: Eukaryotic large subunit ribosomal RNA
Source: RNAcentral
AUUUUUAGGACGUCGCGACCCGUUCGAUGUUGGUCGAAGGGUCAUAGUGAAGUUUGUUUCCCUUACAUUGGUUUUUCCGGUGUUUGUGGUGCAAUCCUGUGAUUUCCUGGCUAAUGUUGGACGGUAUGUCUUUUAAACCGGUUUACUUUAUGUAAUUGGUGGUCAGCGACGAAUAUUCGGUUCUCUUUCCGACCCGUCUUGAAACACGGACCAAGGAGUCUAACAUGUACGCGAGUCAUUGGGUUAUAUCGUAUAUUGAUAUUAAUUAAAAAACCUAUAGGCGUAAUGAAAGUAAAUUGCGAGAGGACUAUGUUCGAGUCACGUUUUUUGAAUUAUUUCAGAACCGGACAUACGCACUCUCGGGGCAUCCAAAUGAUACGGAUUUAUUCGAAUCUGGGUGCACCUAUAGCGUACACGUUGGUACCCGAAAGAUGGUGAACUAUGCCUGGCCAGGAUGAAGUCAGGGGAAACCCUGAUGGAGGUCCGCAGCGAUUCUGACGUGCAAAUCGAUCGU